GACUUGGUGUGGUUGUUGCUGGCCCUCUCGGGGGCAUGUGCACACCCACCAUCCUCAUCUCUCCACCUGUGCACCUCUUGUAGACCUGGAUUGACUUUCCGAGGCAACUCGGUCGGGAAGAUUGCUGCGCUCUGUGAGCCAGCUUUCUUUGCAUGUCCAGGCCUAUGUUUUUCAUAUACCCCUAUAGAAUGUAACAGAAUGUAUCAUUGGGCCUUGUGCCUAUAAACCUUAUACAACUUUCAGCAACGGAUCUCUUGGCUCUCGCAUCGAUGAAGAACGCAGCGAAAUGCGAUAAGUAAUGUGAAUUGCAGAAUUCAGUGAAUCAUCGAAUCUUUGAACGCACCUUGCGCUCCUUGGUAUUCCGAGGAGCAUGCCUGUUUGAGUGUCAUUAAAUUCUCAACCUUAUUAACUUUUGUUGAUAAUGGAUUGGAUUGUGGGGGUUUCUUUUGCUGGCUUCUUCACAGAGAUCAGCUCCCCUUAAAUGCAUUAGCUGGUGCCCCGCGUGGACCAUCUAUUGGUGUGAUAAUUAUCUACGCCGUGGAUGUCUGCAAUYAUAUGGGUUUCGCACUGCUUCUAACCGUCUGUUCAUUCGGACAAUACAUGACAAUUUGACCUCAAAUCAGGUAGGACUACCCGCUGAACUUAAGCAUAUCAAUAAGCGGAGGAAAAGAAACUAACAAGGAUUCCCCUAGUAACUGCGAGUGAAGCGGGAAAAGCUCAAUUUAAAAUCUGGCGGUCUCCGGCCGUCCGAGUUGUAAUCUAGAGAAGUGUUAUCCGCGCUGGACGUGUAC
This 791-nucleotide ribosomal RNA is filed under the name uncultured fungus. RNAcentral's name for it is "eukaryotic LSU rRNA". The stretch from base 235 to 388 matches the Rfam family "5.8S ribosomal RNA". The record is from RNAcentral. Lineage: Eukaryota; Fungi.